This 564-nucleotide ribosomal RNA is filed under the name uncultured Glomeromycotina. RNAcentral describes it as "SSU rRNA". It matches the Rfam family "Eukaryotic small subunit ribosomal RNA", at positions 548 to 1114 of the family's 1831-position model. The record is from RNAcentral. Lineage: Eukaryota; Fungi; Glomeromycota.
UUGGAGGGCAAGUCUGGUGCCAGCAGCCGCGGUAAUUCCAGCUCCAAUAGCGUAUAUUAAAGUUGUUGCAGUUAAAAAGCUCGUAGUUGAAUUUCGGGACCAUCAUGUCGGUCGUGCCUCGGUACGUACUGGCAUUGUUGGUUUCUCCCUUCUGACGAACCAUGAUGUCAUUUAUUUGGUGUUGUGGGGAAUCAGGACUGUUACUUUGAAAAAAUUAGAGUGUUUAAAGCAGGCUCACGCUUGAAUACAUUAGCAUGGAAUAAUGAAAUAGGACGUUUGAUUCUAUUUUGUUGGUUUCUAGGAUCGACGUAAUGAUUAAUAGGGAUAGUUGGGGGCAUUAGUAUUCAAUUGUCUGAGGUGAAAUUCUUGGAUUUAUUGAAGACUAACUACUGCGAAAGCAUUUGCCAAGGAUGUUUUCAUUAAUCAAGAACGGAAGUUAGGGGAUCGAAGACGAUCAGAUACCGUCGUAGUCUUAACCAUAAACUAUGCCGACUAGGGAUCGGAUGAUGUUAAUUUUUUAAUGACUCAUUCGGCGCCUUACGGGAAACCAAAGUGUUUGGGUUC